Molecule: long non-coding RNA, 862 nt
Filed under: Olea europaea subsp. europaea
Lineage: Eukaryota; Viridiplantae; Streptophyta; Magnoliopsida; Lamiales; Oleaceae
Source: RNAcentral
CAGCAAUGAGAAAAGAAAACUAGACAACAUUUUAGCAUUUGAGUUAGCUUUUUAGUAUAAAUGAGAUUGAAUGAAAAGCUAGGUACACAUAGAAUAUCCUGAAGUAUUAAAGCAUCCGUGACCUUUGUAGUCCCUAUGUGAGUAACAGGGACCACGUUGCCAUUUGGUAGAGCUAUGGAAUAUUCAACCUCAGUACGAAUUGAUGAGUAGAAUGAACUGGAACAGAUCAUAUGAUAUGUUGCUCCUGUGUCGAGUAUCCAAGGAACAUUCAACAUGUUAGGAUAUUUUAGUUUGGUAACAGGCAUACAUAAGGACAUACCAGAUAGUUGGUGUACAUUUUCAUCAGUGGAGGUGGAGGUAAUGACACUUUGAGCAUUGUUGGCUGAGUGGUUCUGGCUUCGAGAGUUAGUGACAGGUUUGAGAAGAGCCAUGAGCUGUGAAAUUUAUUCUUGACUUAAGAACACCUGGAUUUGCUAUUUCCAAUCCCUUGUGCAGGAGAUAAAGAUGCCAUAGCUUGAUUUGCCGGUGCCUUUUCCUUUCCACUGAAUUUGUGGCCUGGAAGAUAGCCAUGAAGUUUGUAGCAUUUGUCCACUUGAUGGCCAGGAAUCUGACAGUGGGCACAAAUUGGUCUGUCUGGGUUUGCCUUGAAGCAUCUAUCAAGUGAGUGUCCUCCAGUUUUACAAAAAGUGCAGUAGUAUCUAUCUUUCUUCAGCGAAUAAGUGUUUUGCCUUCCCUUUUCUUUGAAAUUUCCCUUUGCAAGAAGAGUCAUAGAUUCAUGUAAGUAUCCUUCAGUUGAUAUCUCCCUUCUUUUCUCUUCCUGUUGUAUUAUCAAGUAAACUUCAUUUAAACUGGGAAAUGGUUU